This 464-nucleotide unclassified non-coding RNA is filed under the name Hevea brasiliensis (rubber tree). Lineage: Eukaryota; Viridiplantae; Streptophyta; Magnoliopsida; Malpighiales; Euphorbiaceae. The record is from RNAcentral.
GCUAGACCCAAGAUGCUGCUGAAGCCUUCUCAUUCUUGUCUUUGAUUUGUGUGUCUUUGUUUUAGAAACAAAUCAAAGUUGCUGUAUUGUAUGACUCUCCUUCAGCUUUUGAUUCUGUUCCAAUAGUAUCACUGAAUAUUGUGACAUGGUGUGGAUUUUCAAUUUUACUCUGUUAUGUAAGAAACAACUACGGUGAUGUCGUCCAGCUUCCCACCAUGGUAAUCAAAUCCAGCCUCGCGAGCUCCAUCAGAGAAAGGCGAAGACUUGAUAUGAUCCAUUGCUCUUAGUUGUGCCAGUUCUGCUAUCCGCUGAGCAGUCAUCUGAGGCGCUAAGCCAUCUUCCAUGGCCUGAAAUACAACUCCACUGAUAUCUUCGUCAUACAAAUUAUCAAAAAGCCCAUCUGUACCAACAAUUAGGACAUCUCCAGGUAAAGCAGUAAUUUUGAAUACCAUGGCAGAGCUAGG